AAAUGAAAAGAGCAGGACCCAUCACCGACCAAGGUCAUCUUCCACUGUCAAAAUAGCACAUUUUCUUUAGAAGCCAAAGUCUGGCGCAGAUGUUCCUUGACACUCCUUUAACAGCAUCUUGAUCUGUUGCCUGCCUGAAAUUUAGUCCUCACAGGAACAUGAGGAUUUUCAAACUAUUAGGUCCUCAGUCAGAAGCAGUCAUUAUUUCUUUCCAGGACAUUGCUGCAUGUGGGAGACCAAAGAAGAACUGAGUCCUCAUUCGCUUCCUCUGUGGACACAAAGGAGAAAAGCAACAUGCAGGGAUGAUGGUAUUGCUGAUUCCAGGGAAAAGUUAAUACAGCUAAGGUCAGGUUGUUUAGCCGACACGUUCUAGUGGAUAAUGGAAUACAGAUGGAUCUUGUUUGGACCUGUGUUUGAGUGAAUUGACGCAGAAUGAGCCAGAUUCUCGGGAGUUGCCUACUAGAGGUAUUUACAUCUUAACAAUGAGAGAAAAGUGACCAGGACAUCAACCAAAUGUUAUGAAGUUCAAGAUUGCUUGCCUCUCCUUCUGGAGUUGGAUUGCAGGUUUUUGUCUCAAACAAAGAAGUAAAUCAAAUAAGCAAAAAGCAAUCCAAAGUUUAUUUGAGAAAAUGGAAGUGAAGAUUGGGAGAGAAACUGGAUCUGCAAAACCAGCUUGGGCAGAGUAAACAGCAAAAGAAGAUUUUAUACUGUGGGAAACCAAUGGAGGGAAUAUUGCAUGCAAAAAAGAUUCAGAACAACCUUCAGAAGAUUUGGAGCACAAAUCUUAAAGACUUCCCGGAGAAUUUCCAAUGGUGAUAAAUGUCAAAACUCAGCAUCUAUUAAUGAGAACCAAGGGAGGGUUAUAGUUGAUUAUAAGGUCUUGGAUGCUUCUUCUUUUGUUGUGAGGAAAUUCCUGACUUAUGCAAUAGACCAAGAGGACAAGACAGAGUGAGAAUAUGGGUGAUAUUUUUAUGUCAAUAAAUACUAGUGCGUUGCCUGUUUCUGUUAAAUCUGCUAUGUACAGGAAUGUUCAUCAGUUGGAAUGAUUUGAAAUCAUGCUCUGGAGCAUAAAUUUUUUUAUUCUGCUUUUAGUUUAAAAAUUUUUAUUGUUUAUUAGUAGAUGUUUGCUCUACAUAAUGAUCACAUUCAUCGUGGAGUGUCAGUACAUAUAGAUAACACAUCUUGGUUUUACAUUCCCCUCUGCCAUUUUUUGUUUGUGGACCAUAAAUAUUUGUGUAUCUUUUACAGGCCAAGUAAUUCUUCCCAGUCCAUGAGACUUAUUUCCACUUUGUACAAAAGUAAUACCAGUUACAA
Cavia porcellus (domestic guinea pig) is the source of this 1314-nucleotide long non-coding RNA. RefSeq lists it as uncharacterized. The record is from RefSeq and is a predicted model, not a curated record. NCBI's taxonomy places the organism in Eukaryota, Metazoa, Chordata, Mammalia, Rodentia, Caviidae. The transcript is spliced from 5 exons.